GUGAAUCAUCGAAUUUUUGAACGCAAAUUGCACUCUCCUCGGUGAGUAUGCCUGUUUGAGUUUCAGCCUCUGAAAAAUCGACAUCGUUGCUGUUUCGCGGUUGCGUUCGUCGGCGAUUGGGUUAUCUUAAAUCCUUUUGGGUUUUACGCGCCUUAAAAUUUUCUUUUUGGUUCCUUGUACGUUUCUCAGAUUUAUUUCUUUUCCCGUUUUAUGUAUCGUUUUUUAUUCGACGUAACCAUCAUCUCAUCUC
Molecule: unclassified non-coding RNA, 250 nt
Filed under: Glomeromycetes sp.
Lineage: Eukaryota; Fungi; Glomeromycota; Glomeromycetes
Description: partial contains 5.8S ribosomal RNA and internal transcribed spacer 2
Rfam family: 5.8S ribosomal RNA (bases 1-65)
Source: RNAcentral